This is a long non-coding RNA of Brassica oleracea var. oleracea, 1793 nucleotides long. RefSeq lists it as uncharacterized. The transcript is spliced from 4 exons. The record is from RefSeq and is a predicted model, not a curated record. Lineage: Eukaryota; Viridiplantae; Streptophyta; Magnoliopsida; Brassicales; Brassicaceae.
GCCCAUAUCUUAUUCUACGCAGAAUGUUCGUCGCCUUCAACUCCGACUCUUCCAAUUCACUAUUCUAAUCUCUGCAAUCUCUCUGUAAUUAUUACACCCCAAUCUUGCUCAUUCAAUUCUGAUAUUUUCUCCUAUCUUCAUUAGAGAUUAUCGUUCCACCUUCCUUUGUUUUUCCUGUUAUAUAAACCCUUUGAUGAUAUGAUAAGACAGGUCCGUUAACUAUUGUCAUUCCAGCCUGAGUUAUCUAAAAUAUGAACCCUCGACUCCAGAUUCAUAACACAAUGACAAUUUGUUGUUCUCUACAUUUGAAAGUCAGUCGUAGAACUCGGCCUCACGCUGGUGCUGAUCGUCUUCUCCGUCGUCGUUUUAGAAGCUUGGAGAAGGAGACACAGUAACGUUUCUGUCGACACCGUGACAACUACACUCGAGGGUCCGACAUCCUUAAAACAGGAGAGUCUGUCUAACGAUGUGUGUUGUUUAAGAAAUAAAAGAGUAAAACAGACAGAUCGUGGAUGCGCAGUUGUAUGAUAAUAAUUUCAAGAGAGGAGCAAGCAAAAAGCUUCACUUGAGAAGGAAAUUCAUCAUACUGUCAGUAGAAAGAUAAGAAGAAAAGUUGAUGACGAGAUCAACAACAGAUUGAGUUUGGGAACACUUUUCUUCCAGCCUAACUUCCUGGUUACGGUUGAGGUAAUGUAAAUAUUUGCUCGAUUUGAUUUAAGAUGUGGUCAGCUCCUAUUUUUGUUGCAUAUGGCGACAUCAUCUGAUUGCAAAACAAGUUUAAGGCGUCUUAAAUUGGUAUGAUUCAUUACACAGUCUCUUACUGAAUAAAAAGAGGUUUUUUUUUCGAGGUCAUUGAUGAGACACUUAGUAAUAAUAUUCUCUAUGCCUUUUCCCUUCCAUGAAGCAAAAAGUGAUGGCCAAAUAAACGGCCAGUCUAUUCUCAUCGCGUACAUGGAACACAAUAAAUCAUCUUUAAACCUUUUUGUUUGUUCAUUUUUCAUGUUUAUGUAUUUAGCCAAUAUCAUACCAAAAGGCUGGAAGGUACUUCUCACUUUGUUCAGGUACGUUCACCUAGAACAUGAGAUGUACCUGAAACCAAAGAAAUAUGAAACUUCAAGAUGAUAGAUAUGUAGAUAUAACAGAUUUGUGGCGCAUUCAACAAUUAAACUGUCUUCGUAAUUUGUAGUUGGUGUUGUAAAAGAGUAACUAAACAACAUGGUCAAGUUCAUUCUACAUGGAUACAUGCCACAACUAGGUUCAUUCCUUCCUUUUCAUUUAGGAAGCGAUCUUUGUCCGGGAAAGAUCUUGCCAAGCUCUAGAUUUCCAUUUUCCUUCAUCUUGACAACUGAAGAUGGGUUUAGCUACUGUAGCUUUCAAGCUGUGGGUUAUGACUUCAACACUAUCCAGCUGGUGAGAAGGGUUCUGUCUUGCUUUGAUCCCAAUAAAUUCUUUGUAGGGUGUCGCAGUGAACGCGUACCAGCCGGAAAUUAGUGUAUACUUGGAAGAUUAUGGGUGUAGAGAGAGUGGACCAGUGAAUAGUGAUGUAUCAUACGUUUGAAAACCUUGGCAUGUAGUGUGCGUAGCCUAGACCUACCUUGAAGUGGGACUGGAGCAGGCUGAGCAGCAAUAACAAGAGGACACGAGGGAAUCUAGCAGAACUUUAUCUGAACUCUUUUCGAGCUUUCUGUUUUUGCAUUUUUUUUAAGUAAUGACUAAUUAUUUGUGAAGUUAAGGUAUUCCUUUCAAAAUCAUGUGUUGUACAAAUUUGCUUUAAUAUACAGCUUUGUACAUUA